UACGGAGGGCGCGAGCGUUAAUCGGAAUUACUGGGCGUAAAGCGCGCGUAGGCUGUUGUGUAAGUUGGGGGUGAAAUCCCACGGCUCAACCGUGGAACAGCCCUUGAUACUGCGCGACUUGAAUCCGGGAGAGGGUGGCGGAAUUCCAGGUGUAGGAGUGAAAUCCGUAGAUAUCUGGAGGAACGUCAGUGGCGAAGGCGGCCACCUGGACCGGUAUUGACGCUGAGGCGCGAAAGCGUGGGGAGCAAACAGG
Molecule: ribosomal RNA, 253 nt
Filed under: uncultured bacterium
Lineage: Bacteria
Description: partial 16S ribosomal RNA
Rfam family: Bacterial small subunit ribosomal RNA
Source: RNAcentral